GGAGGGUUAGCCUAAUUGGUAAGGCGGCGGAUUUGAAAUCCGCUGGGGUUACUCCCUUGGGGGUUCGAGUCCCUCACCCUCCG
Molecule: transfer RNA, 83 nt
Filed under: marine sediment metagenome
Rfam family: tRNA
About the family: Transfer RNA (tRNA) molecules are approximately 80 nucleotides in length. Their secondary structure includes four short double-helical elements and three loops (D, anti-codon, and T loops).
Source: RNAcentral